UGCGUAGGCGGACUAAUAAGUCAGUGGUGAAAUCUCUCGGCUCAACCGGGAAACUGCCAUUGAUACUGUUAGUCUUGAGUUCGGUUGAGGUAGGCGGAAUGUGUAAUGUAGCGGUGAAAUGCUUAGAUAUUACACAGAACACCAAUUGCGUGGGCAGCUUACUAGACCGACACUGACGCUGAGGCACGAAAGCGUGGGUAGCGAACAGGAUUAGAUACCCUGGUAGUCC
RNAcentral lists this ribosomal RNA (229 nucleotides) under uncultured bacterium. Its description in RNAcentral is "partial 16S ribosomal RNA". It matches the Rfam family "Bacterial small subunit ribosomal RNA", at positions 568 to 796 of the family's 1533-position model. The record is from RNAcentral.